RNAcentral lists this unclassified non-coding RNA (241 nucleotides) under plant metagenome. Its description in RNAcentral is "partial contains small subunit ribosomal RNA, internal transcribed spacer 1, and 5.8S ribosomal RNA". The record is from RNAcentral.
UUUCCGUAGGUGAACCUGCGGAAGGAUCAUUAAAGAGUAAAGGUCUUCGGGCCCGAUCUCCAACACUUUGUUUAACUACCAUGUUGCUUUGGCGGGCCCGUCUCACGACAGCCGGAAGUUUGGCUUCGACCAAACUUCUGGCCCGUGCCCGUCAGUGGCCCCUUCAAAUUCUUGAUCAAGUAUGAUGUCUUAGUUAAAAACUUAAUAGUUAAAACUUUCAACAACGGAUCUCUUGGUUCUG